UACGUAGGGUGCGAGCGUUAAUCGGAAUUACUGGGCGUAAAGCGUGCGCAGGCGGUUGUGCAAGACAGGUGUGAAAUCCCCGGGCUUAACCUGGGAACUGCGCUUGUGACUGCACGACUAGAGUACGGUAGAGGGGGGUGGAAUUCCUGGUGUAGCAGUGAAAUGCGUAGAUAUGUGGAGGAAUACCGAUGGCGAAGGCAGCCCCCUGGGCUAAGAUUGACGCUCAUGCACGAAAGCGUGGGGAGCAAACAGG
This 253-nucleotide ribosomal RNA is filed under the name uncultured bacterium. Its description in RNAcentral is "partial 16S ribosomal RNA". It matches the Rfam family "Bacterial small subunit ribosomal RNA", at positions 524 to 776 of the family's 1533-position model. The record is from RNAcentral.